Molecule: long non-coding RNA, 1838 nt
Filed under: Homo sapiens (human)
Lineage: Eukaryota; Metazoa; Chordata; Mammalia; Primates; Hominidae
Description: HSALNT0361132
Source: RNAcentral
UGGCGGGCGCCCCUCCCCCAGCCUCGCUGCCGCCUUGCAGUUUGAUCUCAGACUGCUGUGCUAGCAAUCAGCGAGACUCCGUGGGCGUAGGACCCUCCGAGCCAGAUGAUCAGUUGCUUCCAUUUGAAUCACUGUCAAGAAAGAAUGAAGCAGCCAAUUCUUUUGGAGGAAGUUGAUAGUCUCUUUUUGGGUGUGUGACAGACAGCACAAUGAUACCUGUGUGGAAGAGGAUGAGGAUGAGGUGGGAGCUACAAGUGCUCAGAGCCUUGGACAUUGCUUCUGCUGAGUUCAGCCUCAGCACAGAGUGAAGGAUUACAGCAUAGGAAGAAAAUACCAGAGCCAUAUCACUCCCAACCAAGACCCAUGCUAGCAUCAGUUGGUAAAAUUUGUUCACAGUGAUGUCAUCACAAGCCAGGCUGAUAACCCCCAAGUUAGAGCAGAGGCAGUGCUCGAUUUCAUUCCUGGAACAGUAGUGUCUCUGGGCAGCCAGUAUAGGCACUGGGAUGGUCAACAGGCCAUUCCUGAGCAUGAUGAACCCUGUGGCUUUGAAGACAAAAGCUUUAGUGACUAUGGAGGGGUACUGAAGAGGGCGACAGAUGGCUAUGUAUCUGUCUACUGCCAUGCAGAGAAAGAUGCCUGACUCUAUGCAGAAGAAGCAGUGGAUGGCAUAGAUCUGAGCAAAACACAUGGGGAGGCUAAUGGCCUUGGCAUCAAACCAGAAGAUGGCCAGGAUCUUGGGCAUGAUGGUGGUGGCCAGGCCAAUGUCCACCACUGCUAAUAUGCCCAGCAAAUGGUACAUGGGUUCAUGUAGCACGGUCUCAUGUUGAAUGGUGAUUAUGAUGAGGAGAUUGGCACCAAGAGCUAAGAGGUAGAGCAGAGUCAGGGGCAGGGAGAGCCAGUGCUGCCACUCAUGAAUGCCUGGUAAUCCCAUCAGGAUGAACUGGGAAAUCUGGAGGCUGGAGUCAUAGGUAACACUGGUGGAGGUAUCCAUGGAAUGGGUGCCUCAGUCUCAGUGUCUGUCUGAAAUAGAAGAAAUCUCUGUUUAAAAGUUCAGCUAAGGGGCUGAGCAUCGUGGUUCAUGCCUGUAAUCCCAGCACUUUGGGAGGCUGAGACAGGCAGAUAAUUUGAGGUCAGGAGCUCGAGACUGACCUGGCUAACAUGGCAAAAUCUCAUCUCUGCGGAGAAUACAAAAAUUAGCUGGGUGUGGUGGUGCCUGUCUGUAAUCCCAGCUACUUGGGAGGCUGAGGCAUGAGAAUCAUUGAACCUGGGAGGCGGAGGUUGCCGUGAGCCGAGAUUGUGCCACUGCACCCCAGCCUGGACAACAGAGUGAGACCCUGUCUUAAAAAACAAAACAAAACAAAAAGUUAAGUGUCUUGGUAAGAGCUCCUCAAUAAUGAACCAGCUCCUUUUAUUCAUGAAUGACCCUCAACUUUAUUUGACUUCUGGAAAUAUUCCACAGAGGAAUAACAAAAAAAGCAAAAAAAUUCUAAACAGAAGAGUUGGAAUAACUAUUUUUCAUCACCACUUGUAUGUCUAAUAAGCAUGUCCACAUAUAUUAACAACAGUCUUAUCACUAACAGAUAACAAAUGUUAGUAUUUGAUUUAUUUCCAAUUUUCUAUUUUAUUUUUAAACAGUCUACAUCAUUAUCUAGAGAUGAUUUUGUAUCUUGUUUUUGUCUUUUAGCAGUAUGUGUUAAGAUGUAAUAUAAGCACUCAAAAAUUUUAUUUCAUGGAUGAAUACAUUAACCAAAGACUUCACAAUAUUAUUUAAAAAGUGUGAUGUUAAUUUUAAUUGCUGCUUUAAAUUUUUGCAUUUGGCUAUUCUAUAAUUUACUGAC